This 832-nucleotide long non-coding RNA is filed under the name Mytilus galloprovincialis (Mediterranean mussel). Lineage: Eukaryota; Metazoa; Mollusca; Bivalvia; Mytilida; Mytilidae. The record is from RNAcentral.
GAAACAAGAAGUAAUUGUAACAGGAUGCUGUUACGAAGUCUCCCAAACAAAGCUCCCAUAUUAAUUUGACUUGUUUAAUUGUCCCAUACAAGAAUAUAUAUGGUUUAGGGGUGGGGAUCUUGACCGUUUACAAGUUUUCAAACAAGAGGGGGUGGGUGACCCCCUAGGGACUUCCCUUUUAUUUCAUUUCAUUUAUUUGAUUGUCCCCUACAAGAAUAUAUAUGGUUUAGGGGUGGGGAUCUGGACCGUUUACAAGAUAAUAGAACAUUCUCAAAUUAAGCGGGGUAGGGGUAACCCCCAUGGACUCUCCCUAUAUUUCAGUUGUUGUGUUUUAUUGUUCCAUACAAGAAUAUACAUUGUUUAGGGGUGGGGAUAUGGACCGUUUACAAGUUUUCAAACACGACGGGGUGGGGUGACCCCCUAGGGACUUCCUUUUGAUUUCUUUUUAUUAGUUUUAUUGUCCCCUACAAGAAUAUAUAUAUAUGGUUUAGGGGUGGGGAUCUGGACCGUUUACAAGAUAAUAGCACAUUCUCAAAUUGAAUGGGGUGGGGUGACCCCCAGGAACUUCCCUUUAAUUUCAUUCGAUUUGUUUUAUUGUCCCCUACAAGAAUAUAUAUGGUUUAGGGGUGGGGAUCUGGACCGUUUACAAGAUAAUAGCACAUUCUCAAAUUGAACGGGGUGGGGGCAAACCCCAGGGACUUCUCCUUUAAUUCAUUAAAUUUGUUUUAUCGUCCCAUUCAAGAAUGUACAUGGUUUAGGGGUGGGGAUUUAGACCCUUUACAAGAUAAUAGCAUAUUCUCAAAUUUAAGGGGGUGGGGAUGACCCCCUAGAG